This 163-nucleotide ribosomal RNA is filed under the name Clostridium frigidicarnis. RNAcentral's name for it is "Bacterial large subunit ribosomal RNA". It matches the Rfam family "Bacterial large subunit ribosomal RNA", at positions 2763 to 2925 of the family's 2925-position model. Lineage: Bacteria; Bacillati; Bacillota; Clostridia; Eubacteriales; Clostridiaceae. The record is from Rfam by way of RNAcentral.
GAUAAACGCUGAAAGCAUCUAAGCGUGAAGCCUACCUCAAGAUAAGAUUUCCCAUAACGUAAGUUAGUAAGACCCCUUGAAGACCACGAGGUUGAUAGGUGAGAGGUGUAAGUAUAGCAAUAUAUUCAGCUGACUCAUACUAAUAGGUCGAGGGCUUGACCAA